AUCUGGCUGGCUCAGUGGGUAGAGCACUUGACUCUUGAUCUCGGGGUUGUGAGUUUGAUCCCCAUGUUAGGUG
This 73-nucleotide transfer RNA is filed under the name Felis catus (domestic cat). It matches the Rfam family "tRNA". From Rfam's summary of the family: Transfer RNA (tRNA) molecules are approximately 80 nucleotides in length. Their secondary structure includes four short double-helical elements and three loops (D, anti-codon, and T loops). Further hydrogen bonds mediate the characteristic L-shaped molecular structure. tRNAs have two regions of fundamental functional importance: the anti-codon, which is responsible for specific mRNA codon recognition, and the 3' end, to which the tRNAs corresponding amino acid is attached (by aminoacyl-tRNA synthetases). tRNAs cope with the degeneracy of the genetic code in two manners: having more than one tRNA (with a specific anti-codon) for a particular amino acid; and 'wobble' base-pairing, i.e. permitting non-standard base-pairing at the 3rd anti-codon position. The record is from Rfam by way of RNAcentral. Lineage: Eukaryota; Metazoa; Chordata; Mammalia; Carnivora; Felidae.